UUGACCUACGGGGCGCAGCAGUGAGGAAUAUUGGUCAAUGGGCGAGAGCCUGAACCAGCCAAGUCGCGUGAGGGAAUACGGUCCUAUGGAUUGUAAACCUCUUUUGCCGGGGAGCAAAAAGCGGUACGUGUACCGCAUCGAGAGUACCCGGAGAAAAAGCAUCGGCUAACUCCGUGCCAGCAGCCGCGAUAAUACGGAGGAUGCGAGCGUUAUCCGGAUUUAUUGGGUUUAAAGGGCGCGCAGGCGGCGAGUUAAGUCAGCGGUAAAAUUUCGGGGCUAAACCCCGACAAGCCGUGGAA
Molecule: ribosomal RNA, 299 nt
Filed under: uncultured bacterium
Lineage: Bacteria
Description: partial 16S ribosomal RNA
Rfam family: Bacterial small subunit ribosomal RNA
Source: RNAcentral